This 451-nucleotide ribosomal RNA is filed under the name uncultured bacterium. Its description in RNAcentral is "partial 16S ribosomal RNA". It matches the Rfam family "Bacterial small subunit ribosomal RNA", at positions 28 to 507 of the family's 1533-position model. The record is from RNAcentral.
AGCGAACGCUGGCGGCAUGCCUAACACAUGCAAGUCGCACGGGGGGGCUUCGGCCUCCCAGUGGCGGACGGGUGAGGAACGCGUAGGGACCUGUCGAGGGGUGGGGGAUAACCGCGGGAAACUGCGGCUAAUACCGCAUGACGCCGCGGCGUGACAGCCGGGGCCAAAGGCGAAAGCCGCCCGCCGAGGGGCCUGCGUCUGAUUAGCUGGUUGGCGGGGUAGCGGCCCACCAAGGCGUCGAUCGGUAGCUGGUCUGAGAGGGUGAUCAGCCACACCGGGACUGAGACACGGCCCGGACUCCUACGGGAAGCAGCAGUGGGGAAUAUUGGACAAUGGGCGCAAGCCUGAUCCAGCAAUGCCGCGUGGGUGAAGAAGGUCUUCGGAUUGUAAAGCCCUUUCGGCGGGGACGAUGGUGACGGUACCCGCAGAAGAAGCCCCGGCUAACUUCGUG